Molecule: microRNA precursor, 64 nt
Filed under: Alligator mississippiensis (American alligator)
Lineage: Eukaryota; Metazoa; Chordata; Crocodylia; Alligatoridae
Description: Ami-Mir-9603_pre stem-loop
Source: RNAcentral
UGGGGCACAUCUCUAGAAGCAGGAAUAGUCAGGAUGCUCUGCUUCUAGUGACUUGCCUUGGAGA